GAUGAAGAACGUAGCGAAAUGCGAUAAGUAAUGUGAAUUGCAGAAUUCAGUGAAUCAUCGAAUCUUUGAACGCACAUUGCGCCCGCCAGUAUUCUGGCGGGCAUGCCUGUUCGAGCGUCAUUUCAACCAUCAAGCCCCCCGGCUUGUGUUGAGGACCUGCGGCUGCCGCAGGCCCUGAAAAGCAGUGGCGGGCUCGCUGUCACACCGAGCGUAGUAGAUCUCAUCUCGCUCAGGGCGUGCUGCGGGUUCCGGCCGUUAAACCACCUUCAUAACCCAAGGUUGACCUCGGAUCAGGUAGGAAGACCCGCUGAACUUAAGCAUAUCAAUAAGCGGAGGA
This 337-nucleotide unclassified non-coding RNA is filed under the name soil metagenome. Its description in RNAcentral is "partial contains 5.8S ribosomal RNA, internal transcribed spacer 2, and large subunit ribosomal RNA". The stretch from base 1 to 120 matches the Rfam family "5.8S ribosomal RNA", at positions 35 to 154 of the family's 154-position model. The record is from RNAcentral.